GCGGGGGUAGCAAAGCCUGGUCAAAUGCGCAGGACUUAAGAUCCUGUCCCUCAGUGGGUUCGUGGGUUCAAAUCCCGCCCCCCGCA
RNAcentral lists this transfer RNA (86 nucleotides) under Candidatus Woesearchaeota archaeon. Its description in RNAcentral is "tRNA-Leu". It matches the Rfam family "tRNA". From Rfam's summary of the family: Transfer RNA (tRNA) molecules are approximately 80 nucleotides in length. Their secondary structure includes four short double-helical elements and three loops (D, anti-codon, and T loops). Lineage: Archaea; Nanobdellati; Candidatus Woesearchaeota. The record is from RNAcentral.